CCUACGGGAGGCAGCAGUGGGGAAUAUUGGGCAAUGGGCGCAAGCCUGACCCAGCAACGCCGCGUGAAGGAAGAAGGCUUUCGGGUUGUAAACUUCCUUUAAGAGGGAAGAGCAGAAGACGGUACCUCUUGAAUAAGCCACGGCUAACUACGUGCCAGCGGCCGCGGUAAUACGUAGGUGGCAAGCGUUGUCCGGAUUUACUGGGUGUAAAGGGCGUGCAGCCGGGAAGACAAGUCAGAGGUGAAAUCCCGGGGCUCAACCGCGGAACUGCAGUUGAAACUGUUUGUCUUGAGUACCGGAGAGGUGAUCGGAAUUCGUGGUGUAGCGGUGAAAUGCGUAGAUAUAAGGAAGAACACCAGUGGCGAAGGCGGAUGACUGGACGGCAACUGACGGUGAGGCGCGAAAGCGUGGGGAGCAAACAGGAUUAGAUACCCCUGUAGUC
This 442-nucleotide ribosomal RNA is filed under the name uncultured bacterium. RNAcentral's name for it is "partial 16S ribosomal RNA". It matches the Rfam family "Bacterial small subunit ribosomal RNA", at positions 338 to 795 of the family's 1533-position model. The record is from RNAcentral.